Molecule: ribosomal RNA, 497 nt
Filed under: uncultured bacterium
Lineage: Bacteria
Description: partial 16S ribosomal RNA
Rfam family: Bacterial small subunit ribosomal RNA
Source: RNAcentral
GAUGAACGCUGGCGGCGUGCCUAAUACAUGCAAGUCGAGCGAACAGACGAGGAGCUUGCUCCUCUGACGUUAGCGGCGGACGGGUGAGUAACACGUGGAUAACCUACCUAUAAGACUGGGAUAACUUCGGGAAACCGGAGCUAAUACCGGAUAAUAUAUUUAACCGCAUGGUUCAAUAGUGAAAGACGGUUUUGCUGUCACUUAUAGAUGGAUCCGCGCCGCAUUAGCUAGUUGGUAAGGUAACGGCUUACCAAGGCAACGAUGCGUAGCCGACCUGAGAGGGUGAUCGGCCACACUGGAACGGAGACACGGUCCAGACGCCUACGAGAGGCAGCAGUAGGGAAUCUGCCGCAAUGGGCGAAAGCCUGACGGAGCAACGCCGCGUGAGUGAUGAAGGUCUUCGGAUCGUAAAACUCUGUUAUUAGGGAAGAACAAAUGUGUAAGUAACUAUGCACGUCUUGACGGUACCUAAUCAGAAAGCCACGGCUAACUACGUG